Molecule: ribosomal RNA, 424 nt
Filed under: Verrucomicrobiota bacterium
Lineage: Bacteria; Pseudomonadati; Verrucomicrobiota
Description: Verrucomicrobia bacterium partial 16S ribosomal RNA
Rfam family: Bacterial small subunit ribosomal RNA
Source: RNAcentral
UGAGGAAUAUUGGUCAAUGGACGAGAGUCUGAACCAGCCAAGUAGCGUGCAGGAUGACAGCCCUAUGGGUUGUAAACUGCUUUUGUUUGGGAAUAAUCGACAUUACGUGUAAUGUUUUGCAUGUACCAUUCGAAUAAGGACCGGCUAAUUCCGUGCCAGCAGCCGCGGUAAUACGGAAGGUCCAGGCGUUAUCCGGAUUUAUUGGGUUUAAAGGGAGUGUAGGCGGUUGGUUAAGCGUGUUGUGAAAUGUAGAUGCUCAACAUCUGACUUGCAGCGCGAACUGGCUGACUGGAGUACACACAACGUAGGCGGAAUUCAUGGUGUAGCGGUGAAAUGCUUAGAUAUCAUGAAGAACUCCGAUUGCGAAGGCAGCUUACGUGAGUGUUACUAACGCUUAAGCUCGAAGGUGCGGGUAUCGAACAGG